GAGAAGGUGGAGGGCUUGAAAUGGUCAUAGGGUUUGCAGUGGGGAGUUACUUACAAUAGAUCUGGAGUUCACCAGGGAAGGGGAUGCUUGAAACCUUGGAGGAUGGGAACCUUUAAAUUUCCAUAUAUUUUCUUGGUUAUUUUUUCAACAUUCAUGGAUGCAAAGAAAAUGUUGAAAACAUGAUUCAAAGGCGAAUGAUGCCCAUCUGAAACUGCAGAUAGUCUAAAACAAUAGCUCUAAGAGUAACCAUCCUUUAUAUUCAACAAGGGUCUGUGCCAUAGUUUCAGGUGAUCAGAAGGCUGCUUUCUUGCAUCUUCCAAUGAAGUUUGUCCAGAAGAAUGCCCUGGAUUAUUGCCAAAGGAAGCUGGCAAUGCUUCUUAUUAUGCCUUUUAUACUAUCAAGGAAACAUGAAUGCUUAUUUUAUUAAUAAAACUGAAGUUUCUCUC
This is a long non-coding RNA of Mauremys reevesii (Reeves's turtle), 446 nucleotides long. RefSeq lists it as uncharacterized. The transcript is spliced from 3 exons. The record is from RefSeq and is a predicted model, not a curated record. NCBI's taxonomy places the organism in Eukaryota, Metazoa, Chordata, Testudines, Geoemydidae.